Poecilia latipinna (sailfin molly) is the source of this 404-nucleotide long non-coding RNA. RefSeq lists it as uncharacterized. NCBI's taxonomy places the organism in Eukaryota, Metazoa, Chordata, Actinopteri, Cyprinodontiformes, Poeciliidae. The transcript has 3 exons. The record is from RefSeq and is a predicted model, not a curated record.
UCUUUGGUGUCCAUAAACAUAACCGACAAAAACAACAUUCUCGCAGAUUUUUUUAAUCCAAGUUACUUGAAAUAAUUUAGCUAUGGUACGAACUUGCUGCGUUAUUGUAUGUAAUGUCUGAUCACACUACUGAAACGGUAAAAAGAUGGAAAACUGACUUUCGUUUCACUAUUUUCCUGCUUGGAAACAACGCGAGGAGGCUAAGCUAUCGGAGCUAAUGAAAAGAAGACGAUUGUCCUGGUAUCAGCGGUGAGACGCUGAUAUUACCUUCUCCAACAUCCACAGAUACCUACAAGUUUGCUCCAGACAUUUCCAUUCUGGCAAACCGAUGUAUGAAAUGGAUGAGCUCAAUCCUGACUGGGUUCCAGUGCUGAAUAUGGGUCACUGAGAAGAGGUAAAUAAUG